CUACGGGACGCACCAGUAGGGAAUCUUCGGCAAUGGACGGAAGUCUGACCGAGCAACGCCGCGUGAGUGAAGAAGGUUUUCGGAUCGUAAAGCUCUGUUGUAAGAGAAGAACGAGUGUGAGAGUGGAAAGUUCACACUGUGACGGUAUCUUACCAGAAAGGGACGGCUAACUACGUGCCAGCAGCCGCGGUAAUACGUAGGUCCCGAGCGUUGUCCGGAUUUAUUGGGCGUAAAGCGAGCGCAGGCGGUUAGAUAAGUCUGAAGUUAAAGGCUGUGGCUUAACCAUAGUACGCUUUGGAAACUGUUUAACUUGAGUGCAGAAGGGGAGAGUGGAAUUCCAUGUGUAGCGGUGAAAUGCGUAGAUAUAUGGAGGAACACCGGUGGCGAAAGCGGCUCUCUGGUCUGUAACUGACGCUGAGGCUCGAAAGCGUGGGGAGCAAACAGGAUUAGAUACCCUGGUAGUC
This 464-nucleotide ribosomal RNA is filed under the name uncultured bacterium. Its description in RNAcentral is "partial 16S ribosomal RNA". It matches the Rfam family "Bacterial small subunit ribosomal RNA", at positions 339 to 795 of the family's 1533-position model. The record is from RNAcentral.